AUACGUAGGGGGCGAGCGUUGUCCGGAAUCACUGGGCGUAAAGAGUUCGUAGGCGGCCUUUCAAGUCAGAUGUUAAAGGCAUUGGCUCAACCAAUGUAAGCAUUUGAAACUGUUAGGCUUGAGUGCAGGAGAGGAGAGUGGAAUUCCUAGUGUAGCGGUGAAAUGCGUAGAUAUUAGGAGGAACACCAGUGGCGAAGGCGACUCUCUGGACUGUUACUGACGCUGAGGAACGAAAGCGUGGGGAGCGAACAGGAUUAGAUACCCUGGUAGUCCACGCCGUAAACGAUGAGUGCUAGGUGUUGGGGUCGACAGGCUUCAGUGCCGCAGUUAACACAUUAAGCACUCCGCCUGGGGAGUACGAUCGUAAGAUUGAA
RNAcentral lists this ribosomal RNA (374 nucleotides) under uncultured bacterium. RNAcentral's name for it is "bacterial SSU rRNA". It matches the Rfam family "Bacterial small subunit ribosomal RNA", at positions 523 to 898 of the family's 1533-position model. The record is from RNAcentral.